This 31-nucleotide non-coding RNA is filed under the name Rattus norvegicus (Norway rat). Lineage: Eukaryota; Metazoa; Chordata; Mammalia; Rodentia; Muridae. The record is from RNAcentral.
UAAGACUGUUACCCAUGCCACACAAUGCUUC